AAAUCCUUGGUGUGUCAUCGAGGAUAAUGUAAAGGAAAAUAAUGAUAUUACUUUACUAUUAGUGUCGUCCAAAUACUCGUGCCAGAAGACUCGGUAAGGCGAGAGACGCAAACGUUAAUCGUCUUGAUCAGGCGUAAAGGGUUUGUAGGCUGUUUUAAGUGCCCUAAUUUAUUAAGGCCAAUUAAAGCUAGAAUCUAAUGGAGGUUAAAACAAUGCUUAAGGUAGGAGUACUAACCGUAAAUAUUAAGUAGAGUGUUAACGGCGAAGGCAUUUAUCCACUAAAGAUUGACGCUGAGAAACGAAGGUGAGGGCAGAAAAAAGGAUUAGAGACCCUUGUAUUCCUCACUGUCAACGAUGAAUGGUAGUCAAUAAUUAGAAAUAAGUUAUAGGCGAUGUAAACACGUAAACCAUUCCGCCUUGUGAGUACAACUGCAAAGUUGAAAACAAAAAAAUUAGUCGGUUUCG
RNAcentral lists this ribosomal RNA (465 nucleotides) under Hymenochaete denticulata. RNAcentral's name for it is "SSU rRNA". It matches the Rfam family "Bacterial small subunit ribosomal RNA", at positions 427 to 921 of the family's 1533-position model. Lineage: Eukaryota; Fungi; Basidiomycota; Agaricomycetes; Hymenochaetales; Hymenochaetaceae. The record is from RNAcentral.